Molecule: ribosomal RNA, 236 nt
Filed under: uncultured bacterium
Lineage: Bacteria
Description: partial 16S ribosomal RNA
Rfam family: Bacterial small subunit ribosomal RNA
Source: RNAcentral
UUGUUCGGAAUUACUGGGCGUAAAGGGCGCGUAGGCGGCGUGUCAAGGCAGGCGUGAAAGCCCCGGGCUCAACCUGGGAACCGCGCUUGAGACUGGCAUGCUCGAGUUCGGGAGAGGAUGGUGGAAUUCCCAGUGUAGAGGUGAAAUUCGUAGAUAUUGGGAAGAACACCGAUGGCGAAGGCAGCCAUCUGGACCGACACUGACGCUGAGGCGCGAAAGCGUGGGGAGCAAACAGG